CCAGCAUAGAGGGUAAGAGUAUACCCUUGGGGUCAGACUCCCUGGUUUCAACUCCUGGGUAACUUAGAAAGUGUUACCUAAAUUUUCAACGUGUUGGUAGACUUUUUCCAUCUGUAAAAUAGGAAGCAUAAGACAGGCUCCAUUCAUGUGAAGGCAGCAUAGCCAUUGGUUUCUUCAGGUCCACAUGGUCCUUGGAAUUCAAGACCCCUGAGUAAAUGAGAAGACUUCAAUUGGCCUGGUGUGAACUGAGUGCUCAUCCUUGAGGCCAGUCACCGUGGAAUGGAAUGAGGAGCACCACAGAAGGGAAAGGAAUAUUUUCUAAAGGAAGGGAUUCUGGUCAAACAAUGACUUGCCACCUGUAUCCCUCUCUAAACGUUUCUCUUUUCCAGCUGCACCUUAACUAGUUUCAGUUUCAGGGGAUGCCAUGCUCACUCUGCUGUCUUAUUUUUGCACAUCUUGCUGCAGUGGCCCAAAAUUCCCCUAGUCUUUACUUGGCUAAUACCCACUCAUUCUUCAAGAUCUAGCUCAUGAUACUUCUAUGGGAUGCCUUUCCUGACCUUCCUAAUCUGGGCUGGGUAUUCACUUAUGUGAUCUCAUAAGCACGUCACAGAUACUUUUGACAUUACACAACACCAUUGCCACUGUUUGCAUGAAUACUUGUCUCUCUUACUAAACUAGCUUUUUGAGUUUUGUGAUUGCACAAUGCUUAGCACAUAGUAAUCACUCCACAAAUGUUUGCUGAAUGACUGAAAGAUAAUCUUAGUGUUGGUAAGAUCCUGUUUUGCUUCUCCCAUUUAAAAGAUGCUUCAGGCUGGACAUGGCAGGUCACAUCUGUAAUCCACAACUUUGGGAGGCCAAGGCAAGAGGAUCAUUUGAGCCCAGGAGUUCAAAGCCGACAUGGACAACGUAGGGAGACCCCAUCUUUAUGAAAAUUAUAAAAUUAGCUGGGUGUGGUAGCAUGCAAUUGUAGUCCCAGCUACUUGGGAGGCUGAGGUGGGAGGAUCACUUGAGCCCAGGAGGUCAAGGCUGCAGUGAGCCGUGAUUGUACCACUGUACUCCAGCCUGAGUGACAGAGCAAGGAGACCCCCAUCUCAAAAUAAAUAAAUACAUAAAAUAAAUAGAAGUUGCU
RNAcentral lists this long non-coding RNA (1129 nucleotides) under Homo sapiens (human). RNAcentral's name for it is "HSALNT0063981". The record is from RNAcentral. Lineage: Eukaryota; Metazoa; Chordata; Mammalia; Primates; Hominidae.